This 429-nucleotide ribosomal RNA is filed under the name Acidobacteriota bacterium. RNAcentral describes it as "Acidobacteria bacterium partial 16S ribosomal RNA". It matches the Rfam family "Bacterial small subunit ribosomal RNA", at positions 355 to 776 of the family's 1533-position model. The record is from RNAcentral. Lineage: Bacteria; Pseudomonadati; Acidobacteriota.
UGGGGAAUUUUGGACAAUGGGGGAAACCCUGAUCCAGCCAUCCCGCGUGUUCGAUGAAGGCCUUCGGGUUGUAAAGCACUUUUGGCAGGAAAGAAACGUCAUGGGUUAAUACCCCGUGAAACUGACGGUACCUGCAGAAUAAGCACCGGCUAACUACGUGCCAGCAGCCGCGGUAAUACGUAGGGUGCAAGCGUUAAUCGGAAUUACUGGGCGUAAAGCGUGCGCAGGCGGUUCGGAAAGAAAGAUGUGAAAUCCCAGAGCUCAACUUUGGAACUGCAUUUUUAACUACCGGGCUAGAGUGUGUCAGAGGGAGGUGGAAUUCCGCGUGUAGCAGUGAAAUGCGUAGAUAUGCGGAGGAACACCGAUGGCGAAGGCAGCCUCCUGGGAUAACACUGACGAUCAUGCACGAAAGCGUGGGGAGCAAACAGG